RNAcentral lists this ribosomal RNA (492 nucleotides) under uncultured bacterium. RNAcentral describes it as "partial 16S ribosomal RNA". It matches the Rfam family "Bacterial small subunit ribosomal RNA", at positions 29 to 507 of the family's 1533-position model. The record is from RNAcentral.
AGUGAACGCUGGCGGUAGGCCUAACACAUGCAAGUCGAACGGCAGCACAGUAAGAGCUUGCUCUUACGGGUGGCGAGUGGCGGACGGGUGAGGAAUACAUCGGAAUCUACUUUUUCGUGGGGGAUAACGUAGGGAAACUUACGCUAAUACCGCAUACGACCUACGGGUGAAAGCAGGGGAUCUUCGGACCUUGCGCGAUUGAAUGAGCCGAUGUCGGAUUAGCUAGUUGGGGGGGUAAAGGCCCACCAAGGCGACGAUCCGUAGCUGGUCUGAGAGGAUGAUCAGCUACACUGGAACUGAGACACGGUCCAGACUCCUACGGGAGGCAGCAGUGGGGAAUAUUGGACAAUGGGCGCAAGCCUGAUCCAGCCAUACCGCGUGGGUGAAGAAGGCCUUCGGGUUGUAAAGCCCUUUUGUUGGGAAAGAAAAGCAGCAGGUUAAUACCCCGCUGUUCUGACGGUACCCAAAGAAUAAGCACCGGCUAACUUCGUG